GUAAGUGCGUAUGUGUAUGAAAAUUUGCACACAUAUUUAAUAUAUUUCAGGAUACAGUUUGUCUAUGAAAAAGACAGUGCUUUUCUACUUUUUACACAGACACUAUGGAUUGGCAUCACCCACCAUGUGUGCAACAUUCACACAUGGAAAACAGGAAAAUGCGAACACGGACAUCUGGAAGAACUGCAUGGAAAGGAGUGGAUCCAGAGAGACUCCAAAUGCCACAAAGCUUUAAUAGACAUUAUUCUCAAUAAGCGUUGGCAGAAGAAUGUUCAUAAAUACCUACGCUUCAGAUCAACUGCUGACCUAGAAGCAUUCCAGAACCAUAUUAUGAUGUAUGCCAGCAAGUGUCAUGCUUUCAGUCCCCCGGUUUAUGAGGCAAGAGUUCUGCUGGCUGCUCUUGACUACAACUUCCAUCGGAACUGACCAACAAUGAAAACAGCCGAAGGCAAAGAGAUUUUCAGAAGGCUGAACAACAAAAACGCCAGAAGAUACAGUGUGUAUGCCCUGAAAUCUGAAAAAAAACUACAGCUAUAUCCCGGAGCUGCAGGAACGAAUUCUUAAAAGAAGACUUGUGACUGAGGUGGGGAUGCCACGAAGACGGAGCCUUCGACCAGAUGACGCCAGGAGGCUCGGUUUGGUGCCCCCCAUACCUGCACCUGCCACAUCAGAACUUGUGCCAACACAAGUCAGGAGAGGU
Cyprinodon tularosa is the source of this 700-nucleotide long non-coding RNA. RefSeq lists it as uncharacterized. NCBI's taxonomy places the organism in Eukaryota, Metazoa, Chordata, Actinopteri, Cyprinodontiformes, Cyprinodontidae. The transcript is spliced from 3 exons. The record is from RefSeq and is a predicted model, not a curated record.